GCGCUCAAAUAUGUCGUCAUCAACAGUAUAAAUACCGCCUUCUUUCAUCGUCACAUCCUCUUUCCAUUGCUCUCCUCGCUUCGAGAAACUUCUCCACACGAUGAGAGCCAAGUGGAGGAAGAAGCGUAUGCGCAGGCUGAAGCGUAAAAGGAGAAAGAUGAGGCAGAGGUCAAAGUAAGCCCUCAUCCCUGUCAGCUGCGUCCUGUCAAAGCCUCUUCAGAUGACUAAAGCCUCCACCCUAAAUCAGAUGACGGAACCUCCAACAGAGAAACUGAACAGACUGAUUCGAAGUGGGCCGACACUGGACGGGUCUCUCGGCAUCAGACCUACAGCUGAUUUGUUCAUGGACCAUGAUACAUGUUUCUCAACAGCCUUCUUGUGGUGUAUUGAACAAUAAAAUGUAAACUGUUAAAAAAAGUGAA
This is a long non-coding RNA of Notolabrus celidotus (New Zealand spotty), 422 nucleotides long. RefSeq lists it as uncharacterized. NCBI's taxonomy places the organism in Eukaryota, Metazoa, Chordata, Actinopteri, Labriformes, Labridae. The transcript is spliced from 4 exons. The record is from RefSeq and is a predicted model, not a curated record.